RNAcentral lists this ribosomal RNA (254 nucleotides) under uncultured bacterium. Its description in RNAcentral is "partial 16S ribosomal RNA". It matches the Rfam family "Bacterial small subunit ribosomal RNA", at positions 524 to 776 of the family's 1533-position model. The record is from RNAcentral.
UACGAAGGGGGGCUAGCGUUGUUCGGAUUUACUGGGCGUAAAGGGCGCGUAGGCGGAUUUUUAAGUCAGGGGUGAAAUCCCAAGGCUCAACCUUGGAACUGCCUUUGAUACUGGGAAUCUUGAGUCCGGGAGAGGUGAGUGGAACUGCGAGUGUAGAGGUGAAAUUCGUAGAUAUUCGCAAGAACACCAGUGGCGAAGGCGGCUCACUGGCCCGGAACUGACGCUGAGGCGCGAAAGCGUGGGGAGCAAACAGG